AGGGAUGUGGUGUGAUUUGACAGGACUUCAUCCGAUAUGCAGCUAGCCGUUGAAGAGGCAUGAUCCCACAUGGAGUGAUGUGACUUGAUAGGACCAUAUGAGGGUCAACCCUUUCAAAUAUGACAGCUAGCAAUAGUUGAAGGGAUGCAGCCUGCAGUUAAGGACGAGGAUCGAUGAGAGAUCCUUCGAUCGAAGACGAUACUGGGCUUGGGACCUUUCUUGAAUCGAUGUCCGAUGUCCGAUGUUCGGGUGUCACUCUGAUA
RNAcentral lists this long non-coding RNA (263 nucleotides) under Elaeis guineensis (African oil palm). RNAcentral describes it as "long non-coding RNA (EGUI_LNC003338)". Lineage: Eukaryota; Viridiplantae; Streptophyta; Magnoliopsida; Arecales; Arecaceae. The record is from RNAcentral.